AUUGAACGCUGGCGGCAUGCUUUACACAUGCAAGUCGAACGGCAGCAUGGAGAUGCUUGCAUCUCUGAUGGCGAGUGGCGAACGGGUGAGUAACACAUCGGAACGUACCGUUUAGUGGGGGACAACUUCAAGAAAUUGAAGCUAAUACCGCAUACGAACUACGGUUGAAAGCAGGGGACCUUCGGGCCUUGUGCUAAACGAGCGGCCGAUGGAAGAUUAGCUAGUUGGUGGGGUAAAGGCUCACCAAGGCGACGAUCUUUAGCGGGUCUGAGAGGACGAUCCGCCACACUGGAACUGAGACACGGUCCAGACUCCUACGGGAGGCAGCAGUGGGGAAUUUUGGACAAUGGGGGCAACCCUGAUCCAGCAAUGCCGCGUGAGUGAAGAAGGCCUUCGGGUUGUAAGGCUCUUUUGACAGGGAAGAAAUCCUUAGUACUAAUAAUGCUGGGGGAUGACGGUACCUGAAGAAUAAGCACCGGCUAACUACGUGCCAGCCGCCGCCGUAA
RNAcentral lists this ribosomal RNA (506 nucleotides) under uncultured bacterium. RNAcentral's name for it is "partial 16S ribosomal RNA". It matches the Rfam family "Bacterial small subunit ribosomal RNA", at positions 30 to 523 of the family's 1533-position model. The record is from RNAcentral.